AAAUGCGGGGAGAGAUGCCCUGGACCAUCUUGCUUUUUGCAGCUGGCUCCUUGGCGAUCCCAGCACCAUCCAUCCGGCUGGUGCCCCCGUACCCAAGCAGCCAAGAGGACCCCAUCCACAUCGCAUGCAUGGCCCCUGGGAACUUCCCGGGGGCGAAUUUCACACUGUAUCGAGGGAGGCAGGUGGUCCAGCUCCUGCAGGCCCCCAUGGACCAGCACGGGGUGACAUUUAACCUGAGCGGCGGCAGCAGCGAGGCUCCAGGGGAACCCUUCUACUGCCAGUAUGGAGUGUUAGGUGAGCUCAACCAGUCCCAGCUGUCAGACCUCAGCAAGCCCGUGAACGUCUCCUUCCCAGUGCCCACUUGGAUCUUGGUGCUCUGCCUGAGCCUGGCUGGUGCCCUCUUCCUCCUUGCUGUGGCUGUUGCCCUGGUGGUCAGAAAAGUUAAACUCAAAAAUUUACAGAAGAAAAGAGAUCGAGAAUCCUGCUGGGCCCAGAUUAACUUCAACAGUGCAGGUCUGUGCCUCCACACUCCUGACUCCGGUAGGGAAAGGAUUACACCUCCAAAUGCCAUCAGGCCUCAUCACACACCAAUCAAAUUUCUUCUGUGACUGCUUGUUCCCUUUAGGGUCAAAACACACCCUCGCCACCUCUUCCCUUGG
This 659-nucleotide small RNA is filed under the name Pongo abelii (Sumatran orangutan). RNAcentral describes it as "retained intron". Lineage: Eukaryota; Metazoa; Chordata; Mammalia; Primates; Hominidae. The record is from RNAcentral.